UUUUUUUUUUUUCCUUUUUAUUCUCCUAUAAAUAUUACACCUAAUUCACAUUCUUUUUCAUAUUCAACACAUAUCUCUCUUCUAAUUAAAAAUAGAAUUUUAAAUUAAAAGAGUAAAAAUGAGAUUAAUUGAAAAUAAAGAUUUUAGCGCCACUUAUAAUGUCAAUACAGUGGAGAGAGGUGACGUUAAAGUGAGAACCAAGGACAUGAGAUAUUCUAAUGGUACGUCGUG
Molecule: long non-coding RNA, 231 nt
Filed under: Salvia miltiorrhiza (redroot sage)
Lineage: Eukaryota; Viridiplantae; Streptophyta; Magnoliopsida; Lamiales; Lamiaceae
Description: long non-coding RNA (SMIL_LNC004470)
Source: RNAcentral